AGCGGAAGGCCCUUCGGGGUACUCGAGCGGCGAACGGGUGAGUAACACGUGAGCAACCUGCCCCAGGCUUUGGGAUAACCCCGGGAAACCGGGGCUAAUACCGAAUAUGACCUCUGACCGCAUGGUUGGUGGUGGAAAGUUUUUCGGCUUGGGAUGGGCUCGCGGCCUAUCAGCUUGUUGGUGGGGUGAUGGCCUACCAAGGCGACGACGGGUAGCCGGCCUGAGAGGGCGACCGGCCACACUGGGACUGAGACACGGCCCAGACUCCUACGGGAGGCAGCAGUGGGGAAUAUUGCACAAUGGGCGGAAGCCUGAUGCAGCGACGCCGCGUGAGGGAUGACGGCCUUCGGGUUGUAAACCUCUUUCAGCAGGGACGAAGCGUAAGUGACGGUACCUGCAGAAGAAGCGCCGGCCAACUACGUGCCAGCAGCCGCGGUAAGACGUAGGGCGCGAGCGUUGUCCGGAUUUAUUGGGCGUAAAGAGCUCGUAGGCGGCUUGUCGCGUCGACCGUGAAAACUUGGGGCUCAACCCCAAGCCUGCGGUCGAUACGGGCAGGCUAGAGUUCGGUAGGGGAGACUGGAAUUCCUGGUGUAGCGGUGAAAUGCGCAGAUAUCAGGAGGAACACCGGUGGCGAAGGCGGGUCUCUGGGCCGAUACUGACGCUGAGGAGC
RNAcentral lists this ribosomal RNA (670 nucleotides) under Micromonospora sp. 115. RNAcentral's name for it is "bacterial SSU rRNA". It matches the Rfam family "Bacterial small subunit ribosomal RNA", at positions 65 to 754 of the family's 1533-position model. RNAcentral also lists the same sequence under 1 other name. The record is from RNAcentral. Lineage: Bacteria; Bacillati; Actinomycetota; Actinomycetes; Micromonosporales; Micromonosporaceae.